GGAUGGGGAUGCGUCUGAUUAGCUUGUUGGCGGGGUAACGGCCCACCAAGGCGACGAUCAGUAGGGGUUCUGAGAGGAAGGUCCCCCACAUUGGAACUGAGACACGGUCCAAACUCCUACGGGAGGCAGCAGUGAGGAGUAUUGGUCAGUGGGCGAGAGCCUGAACCAGCCAAGUAGCGUGCAGGAAGACGGCCCUAUGGGUUGUAAACUGCUUUUAUACGGGGAUAAAAUGAGCCACGUGUGGUUUAUUGCAGGUACCGUAUGAAUAAGGACCGGCUAAUUCCGUGCCAGCAGCCGCGGUAAUACGGAAGGUCCGGGCGUUAUCCGGAUUUAUUGGGUUUAAAGGGAGCGUAGGCCGUCUGUUAAGCGUGUUGUGAAAUGUCGGGGCUCAACCUGGGCAUUGCAGCGCGAACUGGCAGACUUGAGUGCGCAGGAAGUAGGCGGAAUUCGUCGUGUAGCGGUGAAAUGCUUAGAUAUGACGAAGAACUCCGAUUGCGAAGGCAGCCUGCUGUAGCGUAACUGACGCUGAAGCUCGAAAGCGUGGGUAUCGAACAGGAUUAGAUACCCUGGUAGUCCACGCGGUAAACGAUGGAUGCUCGCUGUUUGCGUCUGACGUAAGCGACCAAGCGAAAGCGUUAAGCAUCCCACCUGGGGAGUACGCCGGCAACGGUGCAACUCAAAUGAAUUGAC
This 690-nucleotide ribosomal RNA is filed under the name uncultured bacterium. RNAcentral's name for it is "bacterial SSU rRNA". It matches the Rfam family "Bacterial small subunit ribosomal RNA", at positions 223 to 914 of the family's 1533-position model. The record is from RNAcentral.